RNAcentral lists this ribosomal RNA (484 nucleotides) under uncultured bacterium. RNAcentral's name for it is "bacterial SSU rRNA". It matches the Rfam family "Bacterial small subunit ribosomal RNA", at positions 28 to 526 of the family's 1533-position model. The record is from RNAcentral.
GACGAACGCUGGCGGCGUGCUUAACACAUGCAAGUCGAGCGGUAAGGCUCCUUCGGGAGUACACGAGCGGCGAACGGGUGAGUAACACGUGAGUAAUCUGCCCUUCACUUCGGGAUAACCGCCGGAAACGGUGGCUAAUACCGGAUACGACGCACUCUCGCAUGGGAUGUGCGUGGAAAGUCUUCUCGGUGAAGGAUGUGCUCGCGGCCUAUCAGCUUGUUGGUGAGGUAACGGCUCACCAAGGCUUCGACGGGUAGCCGGCCUGAGAGGGUGACCGGCCACACUGGGACUGAGACACGGCCCAGACUCCUACGGGAGGCAGCAGUGGGGAAUAUUGCACAAUGGGCGCAAGCCUGAUGCAGCGACGCCGCGUGAGGGAUGACGGCCUUCGGGUUGUAAACCUCUUUCAACAGGGACGAAGCGCAAGUGACGGUACCUAUAGAAGAAGCACCGGCCAACUACGUGCCAGCAGCCGCCGUAACAC